Molecule: ribosomal RNA, 512 nt
Filed under: Microctonus aethiopoides
Lineage: Eukaryota; Metazoa; Arthropoda; Insecta; Hymenoptera; Braconidae
Description: partial 16S large subunit ribosomal RNA
Source: RNAcentral
GUCUUAUUGAAAUUAAUUUUAAGUCAAACCUGCUCAAUGAAAAUUUUUAAAUAGCUGCAGUAUCCCUAACUGUACAAAGGUAGCAUAAUAAUUAGAUUUUUAAUUAAAAUCUUGAAUGAAUGGUUUAAUGAAAUAUAAACUGUCUCAAAUAAAAUAAUAAAAUUUAUUAUUUAAGUUAAAAAACUUAAAUAAAUUUAAAAGACGAGAAGACCCUAUAGAAUUUUAUAUUAAUUUAACUAAUAAAAAUUAUUAUAUAUUAAAUAUAAUUAAAUUAAUAUUUAAUUGGGGCAAUUUUUAAAUUUAAAAAACUUUAAAUUAUUAAUUACAUUGAUAAUUGAAUUUAUAUUCUUAUAUUAUAAUAUAAAAAAAUUAAUUACCUUAGGGAUAACAGCAUAAUUUUUUUUUUUAGAUCUAAUAAAUAAAAAAGAUUAUGACCUCGAUGUUGAAUUAAGAAAUAAUUAAAUAGAAAAAAAUUUAAAAUUUAAGUCUGUUCGACUUUUAAAAUCUUACAU